RNAcentral lists this long non-coding RNA (348 nucleotides) under Homo sapiens (human). RNAcentral describes it as "HSALNT0258271". Lineage: Eukaryota; Metazoa; Chordata; Mammalia; Primates; Hominidae. The record is from RNAcentral.
AUCCAAAACUGUCUGUAGACAUUGUCAAACAUCUGCUGAAAUUGCCCCAGUGGACAACCAUGGCACUAAGCUCCUAGUGGCUGCUCGCAUCCUGUGGUUGGUGGUCAUCUUCCUCCAUCUUCAAAAAUGACGUUCUGCCUCGUGUUUCCACCGAAACCAUCGUGUGCCCAUAGUAACCAGCAGACACCAUGCAUGUGUGAUCUCCUUUAUGACCUGCGCCUAAUUAGCUUUUUAUUGUCAUCUUCCAACUCCCGCUUAAACUGUACAAACGGGCAGCAUGACUCCCGAUACCGAUUAAUAAGCUUCUAGCCCUGGUCCUGCAAUAAAGAGGAUGUAUUUACAGCAUGA